AUACGUAGGGGGCUAGCGUUGUCCGGAUUUACUGGGCGUAAAGGGUGAGUAGGCGGUAACGUGUGUCAGAUGUUUAAUCUAUGAGCUCAACUCACAUUAGCAUUUGAAACUACGUAACUUGAGUGCAGGAGAGGUAAGUGGAAUUCCUAGUGUAGCGGUGGAAUGCGUAGAUAUUAGGAGGAACACCGGUGGCGAAGGCGACUUACUGGACUGUAACUGACGCUGAGUCACGAAAGCGUGGGGAGC
This 246-nucleotide ribosomal RNA is filed under the name uncultured bacterium. Its description in RNAcentral is "partial 16S ribosomal RNA". It matches the Rfam family "Bacterial small subunit ribosomal RNA", at positions 523 to 769 of the family's 1533-position model. The record is from RNAcentral.